Brassica napus (rape) is the source of this 103-nucleotide non-coding RNA. The record is from Rfam. Lineage: Eukaryota; Viridiplantae; Streptophyta; Magnoliopsida; Brassicales; Brassicaceae.
GUUCCUUCGAGGACAUCCGAUAAAAUUGAAACUAUAUAGAGAAGGUUAGCAUGGCCCCUGCCGAAGGAUGACAUGCACAAAUCAAGAAAUGGUCCAAAUUUUU